This 514-nucleotide ribosomal RNA is filed under the name uncultured Eikenella sp. RNAcentral describes it as "bacterial SSU rRNA". It matches the Rfam family "Bacterial small subunit ribosomal RNA", at positions 30 to 522 of the family's 1533-position model. The record is from RNAcentral. Lineage: Bacteria; Pseudomonadati; Pseudomonadota; Betaproteobacteria; Neisseriales; Neisseriaceae.
AUUGAACGCUGGCGGCAGGCUUAACACAUGCAAGUCGAACGGUAACAUAAAGAAGCUUGCUUCUUUGAUGACGAGUGGCGGACGGGUGAGUAAUGCUUGGGAAUCUAGCUUAUGGAGGGGGAUAACUACGGGAAACUGUAGCUAAUACCGCGUAAUAUCGAAAGAUUAAAGUGUGGGACCUUCGGGCCACAUGCCAUAGGAUGAGCCCAAGUGGGAUUAGGUAGUUGGUGAGGUAAAGGCUCACCAAGCCGACGAUCUCUAGCUGGUCUGAGAGGUUGACCAGCCACACUGGGACUGAGACACGGCCCAGACUCCUACGGGAGGCAUCAGGGGGGAAUAUUGAGCAAUGGGGGCAACCCUGACGCAUCCUUGCCUCGUGAAUGAAGAAGGCCUUCAGGUUGGUAUGUUCUUCCUCCAGCUCUGAACGAUGAUAAUUAAUAUUCUACUGAUUGAAGUCCACUAUAGGAGAAGUCCGCCUAAAUCCGUCCCCCACUGCCUGCCUUUGUCGUCGCUA